UUCAGAGGAUGUCCUAGUCGAGCAGUCUCGACUCGAGCACUCAAACUAGUUUAACAAGCAACAGAGGCUCUCAGAGUUUCAAGUCAUUCCAUUUCUUUGCAUGCAUAUGUAUUUACAUAUAUAAAUGUAAACAAAAUUUUAAGCAGUUCUUAGUUUUCGCAAUAUGGAGCGCGGGGAAGACGAGACGAAGCCUUCAAGGGGCAGCCGACUGCGGUCGAAGCUUGUCAACUGCAUAGAGGCAGUGCUGCAGAAUGCUCUCUUUUUCCUUGUAAUGGGCACAUUAUGUGCGCUGAUGAUCUUCACACUGAUUAUUGCGAUAGAGGAUGUGGCCAGGCUGAGGCAAAUGCGCCACUCCGGCCUGAGAAUGCUGCCAAAGACUAACGACAAUCUGGAACACGUUCCCCCGUGCCGCUGCCAUUGGCCCUCAGCGUGGUGUCGCCUCUUCGCCAACUGCGAUACAAAAAUAAUGCACCUCAGGCAGCUCCCGCACAGUCGCGAGCAUACGACAGAGAGCAUACCGGGAAAGCAGCUGCCAAUGGCAAGGCCUGACAGCACGAUGUUCGGCAAGCAAAUGUCUCAUCAAAUCGACGAGCCGUUGGAAUUGGAGAAUCCUCUACAAACGUAAACGAUUUAUCUGGAUAGCCUCUUUGAACAUACUAGCGAAAACAAGUAAAUUUUUUCGGAAAACCUCAAUGUAAAGUAACGAUAUAAUCGGACCUUUAAAUUGCGUAGAGCCCAACAUGAUACCGUUGUCAUUCGAAUUCAGUGAAUUUCAUUUAUUCAAUAUCUGGCAUCCUUUACAAUAACUGAACUAUCGGGUCGUUCCUGAUUUGUUUGAAUAUAUUGAAUAUAUAUGCCACCGGGCAAAUGUCUCUCGUGAAGAUCGAGACUAUCGUUGUCCCGGGUCAAUUUUGACAUGAAUCCCCUUACAUUAUUUUCUAGCUACAUUGCAAACUCCUAACUAUGAGACGAGCUCAAUGCAACUCUCAGAUGGCUACUAAUAGUAUACCAUAUCUUACACACAGCGUGCAGUCUGAGAUUUCAUGGCUGCCUGGGAUGCAAAAUAUCUUAGCGAAGUGGAUAUCGAAUGAAUGGUGCCUCUGGCCUAGGCACAGCUGAAAUUUUCUUAUAUGACAAUCGCACACGCAAUUAUUUAAAAUAAUAUAAUAAAUUUUAAGUUCAUCUGCAAA
Molecule: RNA transcript, 1190 nt
Organism: Drosophila mojavensis
Lineage: Eukaryota; Metazoa; Arthropoda; Insecta; Diptera; Drosophilidae
Exons: 3
Source: RefSeq, a predicted model, not a curated record